Long non-coding RNA from Telopea speciosissima, 234 nucleotides. RefSeq lists it as uncharacterized. The record is from RefSeq and is a predicted model, not a curated record. NCBI's taxonomy places the organism in Eukaryota, Viridiplantae, Streptophyta, Magnoliopsida, Proteales, Proteaceae. The transcript has 3 exons.
GUUGAUGUAUCCUCCAGCUGUGACCUUUGGUUUAUUCUUGGCAAGGAAGCUAUCUUUGACCAGGGCAUUGUUCUACAUGGUGAUGCAAUGCCUUGGAGCCAUCUGUGGUGCCGGUGUUGUGAAAGGCUUCCAAAAUAUUCAAUACCAGAUGUUGGGUGGUGGAGCCAACGAAGUCAGCCAUGGCUACACAAAGGAUGAUGGUCUUGGUGUUGAGAUCAUUGGUACCUUCGUCCU